This 224-nucleotide non-coding RNA is filed under the name Staphylococcus schleiferi subsp. schleiferi. RNAcentral describes it as "S. aureus tsr24 small RNA". It matches the Rfam family "S. aureus tsr24 small RNA". The record is from RNAcentral. RNAcentral also lists the same sequence under 1 other name. Lineage: Bacteria; Bacillati; Bacillota; Bacilli; Caryophanales; Staphylococcaceae.
ACGUUAUGGUGUGGACAAAUUCAUUUAUCGUUAAUUUAGUUUCUGUCGUUAUUAAUGAAACGACUUGUUUUUUAAACAAUAAUAGUAAAUGAUGCCAUGCAUAAACGAAGUAUUGAUGACGAGACUCCUGAGGGAACAGGACGAGCUGAAGACUGCAGGCUGAGGCUGUCCCCUCGGAAAGCGAAGUCAUUCAAUACGAGUUUUAUCAUAAAAAAGAAGCGCUA